Molecule: ribosomal RNA, 253 nt
Filed under: uncultured bacterium
Lineage: Bacteria
Description: partial 16S ribosomal RNA
Rfam family: Bacterial small subunit ribosomal RNA
Source: RNAcentral
UACGAAGGGGGCUAGCGUUGCUCGGAAUCACUGGGCGUAAAGCGCACGUAGGCGGAUUGCUAAGUCAGGGGUGAAAUCCUGGAGCUCAACUCCAGAACUGCCUUUGAUACUGGCGAUCUUGAGUCCGGGAGAGGUGAGUGGAACUGCGAGUGUAGAGGUGAAAUUCGUAGAUAUUCGCAAGAACACCAGUGGCGGAGGCGGCUCACUGGCCCGAUACUGACGCUGAGGCACGAAAGCGUGGGGAGCAAACAGG